RNAcentral lists this ribosomal RNA (2878 nucleotides) under Ralstonia sp. RS642. Its description in RNAcentral is "23S ribosomal RNA". It matches the Rfam family "Bacterial large subunit ribosomal RNA". Lineage: Bacteria; Pseudomonadati; Pseudomonadota; Betaproteobacteria; Burkholderiales; Burkholderiaceae. The record is from RNAcentral.
GGUCAAGCGAAUAAGUGCAUGUGGUGGAUGCCUUGGCGAUCACAGGCGAUGAAGGACGUAGUAGCUUGCGAAAAGCUGCGGGGAGCUGGCAAACGAGCUUUGAUCCGCAGAUGUCCGAAUGGGGAAACCCGGCCCGUAUGGGUCAUCCCUUGCUGAAUACAUAGGCAAGGGAGGCGAACGCAGUGAACUGAAACAUCUAAGUAGCUGCAGGAAAAGAAAUCAACCGAGAUUCCCAAAGUAGUGGCGAGCGAAAUGGGAACAGCCUUGUACUCUUUAGCAGUAUUGUUAGCGGAACGGAAUGGAAAGUCCGGCCAUAGUGGGUGAUAGCCCCGUACGCGAAAACAGUAUUGUGGAACUAGGUGUACGACAAGUAGGGCGGGACACGUGAAAUCCUGUCUGAAGAUGGGGGGACCAUCCUCCAAGGCUAAAUACUCGUGAUCGACCGAUAGUGAACCAGUACCGUGAGGGAAAGGCGAAAAGAACCCCGGGAGGGGAGUGAAAUAGAUCCUGAAACCGCAUGCAUACAAACAGUCGGAGCCUGGAAACGGGUGACGGCGUACCUUUUGUAUAAUGGGUCAGCGACUUACAUUCAGUGGCAAGCUUAACCGAUUAGGGAAGGCGUAGCGAAAGCGAGUCCGAAUAGGGCGUUCAGUCGCUGGGUGUAGACCCGAAACCAAGUGAUCUACCAUGGCCAGGUUGAAGGUGCGGUAACACGUACUGGAGGACCGAACCCACUAACGUUGAAAAGUUAGGGGAUGAGCUGUGGAUAGGGGUGAAAGGCUAAACAAACUUGGAAAUAGCUGGUUCUCUCCGAAAACUAUUUAGGUAGUGCCUCGUGUCUCACCUUCGGGGGUAGAGCACUGUCAUGGUUGGGGGGUCUAUUGCUGAUUACCCCGCCAUAGCAAACUCCGAAUACCGAAGAGUGCAAUCACGGGAGACAGACAUCGGGUGCUAACGUCCGGUGUCAAGAGGGAAACAACCCAGACCGCCAGCUAAGGUCCCUAAGAUUGGCUAAGUGGGAAACGAAGUGGGAAGGCUAAAACAGUCAGGAGGUUGGCUUAGAAGCAGCCACCCUUUAAAGAAAGCGUAAUAGCUCACUGAUCGAGUCGUCCUGCGCGGAAGAUGUAACGGGGCUAAGCCAGUCACCGAAGCUGCGGAUGCACGUAAGUGCAUGGUAGGAGAGCGUUCUGUAAGCCUGUGAAGGUGUCUUGUAAAGGAUGCUGGAGGUAUCAGAAGUGCGAAUGCUGACAUGAGUAGCGAUAAAGGGGGUGAAAGGCCCCCUCGCCGUAAGCCCAAGGUUUCCUACGCAACGUUCAUCGGCGUAGGGUGAGUCGGCCCCUAAGGCGAGGCAGAGAUGCGUAGCUGAUGGGAAGCAGGUUAAUAUUCCUGCACCGUCGUAUGAUGCGAUGGGGGGACGGAUCGCGGAAGGUUGUCCGGGUGUUGGAAGUCCCGGUCCCUACAUUGGAGAUGGCACUUAGGCAAAUCCGGGUGCGUGAUUCAAGGGUGUGGGGCGAGCGACGUUAGGUCGCGAAGCAAUUGGAAGUGGUUCCAAGAAAAGCCUCUAAGCUUCAGUCAUACGAGACCGUACCGCAAACCGACACAGGUGGGCGAGAUGAGUAUUCUAAGGCGCUUGAGAGAACUCGGGAGAAGGAACUCGGCAAAUUGGUACCGUAACUUCGGGAUAAGGUACGCCCUUGUAGUUUGACUGGCUCGCGCCAGAAGGAUGAAGGGGUUGCAAUAAAAUGGUGGCUGCGACUGUUUAAUAAAAACACAGCACUCUGCAAACACGAAAGUGGACGUAUAGGGUGUGACGCCUGCCCGGUGCCGGAAGAUUAAAUGAUGGGGUGCAAGCUCUUGAUUGAAGUCCCGGUAAACGGCGGCCGUAACUAUAACGGUCCUAAGGUAGCGAAAUUCCUUGUCGGGUAAGUUCCGACCUGCACGAAUGGCGUAACGAUGGCCACACUGUCUCCUCCCGAGACUCAGCGAAGUUGAAGUGUUUGUGAUGAUGCAAUCUCCCCGCGGCUAGACGGAAAGACCCCAUGAACCUUUACUGUAGCUUUGCAUUGGACUUUGAACCGAUCUGUGUAGGAUAGGUGGGAGGCUUUGAAACCGGGACGCUAGUUUCGGUGGAGCCGACCUUGAAAUACCACCCUGGUUUGUUUGAGGUUCUAACCUUGGCCCGUGAAUCCGGGUCGGGGACAGUGCAUGGUAGGCAGUUUGACUGGGGCGGUCUCCUCCCAAAGUGUAACGGAGGAGUUCGAAGGUACGCUUGGUACGGUCGGACAUCGUACCUAAAGUGCAAUGGCAAAAGCGUGCUUAACUGCGAGACCGACAAGUCGAGCAGGUGCGAAAGCAGGACAUAGUGAUCCGGUGGUUCUGUAUGGAAGGGCCAUCGCUCAACGGAUAAAAGGUACUCUGGGGAUAACAGGCUGAUACCGCCCAAGAGUUCAUAUCGACGGCGGUGUUUGGCACCUCGAUGUCGGCUCAUCUCAUCCUGGGGCUGUAGCCGGUCCCAAGGGUAUGGCUGUUCGCCAUUUAAAGAGGUACGUGAGCUGGGUUUAAAACGUCGUGAGACAGUUUGGUCCCUAUCUGCCGUGGGCGUUGGAAUCUUGACGGGGGCUGCUCCUAGUACGAGAGGACCGGAGUGGACGUACCGCUGGUGUACCUGUUGUCUCGCCAGAGGCAUCGCAGGGUAGCUAUGUACGGAAGAGAUAACCGCUGAAAGCAUCUAAGCGGGAAACUCGCCUGAAGAUGAGGAUUCCCUGGAGACUUGAUCUCCCUGAAGGGUCGUUCGAGACCAGGACGUUGAUAGGCUGGGUGUGGAAGCGCAGUAAUGCGUUCAGCUAACCAGUACUAAUUGCCCGUGCGGCUUGAUCCU